GGUUGCCAAAUUGAAAGAACAACAUCGGCUUGGUUCGUUGUUCGAUCGUAAUUAAUUAUUAAAUAAAAAAGCUCAGCUUGAUUCCGAAAGAGGAUAGUCUGUCCGUGACCUCCUAUGGGAAUCGUAGUGCGCGCCGGAAAAAUUAAAAUUAGAUUGAAGUGGUAACCAGUUAAACCAAGUUAAACUGAAGAAGAUUUCUAAGUGCUAAUCUCGAAGUUAGUGUGUGGUCUAGACAAAGACAAUAAGUAGUACGGAAAACAAUAGUACGGGAAUAAUUGUGAUAGUACGCUUAAAGAUCUAAACCACCACACGUGGCAAAUCGUUAAUCAACCCAAAUUGUAAAAUCAUCAUUAUCUACAAGAAAAAGGUCCGUUUAGUGGCCUUUUUCUUCUUUUUAUGUUGCUUGGCAGGACGGUAAUCGCUGGAAGUGGGUUCGGUGGCUUUCCAACGCGGACGGGCAUCCCUCACACCUUAUCGAGGUCUGUGGACCGACAGUGGGCAUUCCAUCGCCCGAGCAAACAACCAUCUCGUCAACCCGGUAGCAAACAGCCAGCCGACGAAUCAGCCAUCGCUAUUAGCCACACGUGAACCACCUUGUCGCCCCGGUAGCCAACAGCCGGCCGACGAAUCAGCCAUCGCUAUUAGCCACACGUGAACCACCUUGUCGCCCCGGUAGCCAACAGCCGGCCGACGAAUCAGCCAUCGCUAUUAGCCACACGUGAACCACCUUGUCGCCCCGGUAGCCAGAAACCGGCCGACGAAUCCGCCAUCGCUAUUAGCCAGCUGUGUGCCCGUUUCAAUCAACCAUCGUGUCGCCCGGUAGCCAAAAGCCGGUCGGCAAUUCCGUCAUCGCAUCAGUCACACGUCCGCCCAGCCAAGCAACCCUCUCGUCAGCCUGCCGAGCCGCCAUCGCUGUAAGCCACCAGUUCGCUGAGCAAACCUCCUGCAACCAGCAUUGUUCUCUGCCAAGCCGGUGGAGCGAACCAGAAGGUCCACGUGUCACCAUCGCAUCGCUGCCUACGCUGAAUCAACGUCCGAUCGUCGCCACGACGGUGAGAUUGGAGUCUAUCCCGUGGAUCUAUUCACCGAUCAAGUGAACGGUCCCCGAAGCAGCUGCUACCGGCAACCAUUCGCCGAUUCCGGUCCUUGGAUGCCGUCUACCAGCGACAUCAUAUGCCCUAAGAGGCCAACGAGUGAUAAGUACCCCUACAUUUAUAUGACGUCACUAUAGAAAGGCCAACGUAGGCCAAUAAAUAAGCAUGUAAAAUGAAACAAGUUGCGUAGGUAGCAUAUUCUUUCCAGAGCAAGCACUCCCUGAGGUUUCUUCUUCUUUUUGCUUUAUUGUCGUCCUCCGGACUCACAAAGGAGUCGUCAAGCCUCGCCCGCAGAGGUCAGGUACUGAGUGUCUUAUUUCGGUAAGCUUUUGAGCAUUAAAUUUUGUCACGAUAUCUUUUGGCAACCUUUCCGCUUGGUCACAGCAGAGAGCACGUGUCGCGCUACACACGUGUGUAUGCUCCUACUGUAGGUGAAGGGUGAAGGACUAGUGUGUGUGUGUGUGGAUCAAAGUUAACGACCCUG
Molecule: long non-coding RNA, 1578 nt
Organism: Armigeres subalbatus
Lineage: Eukaryota; Metazoa; Arthropoda; Insecta; Diptera; Culicidae
Exons: 3
Source: RefSeq, a predicted model, not a curated record